UACGUAGGGUGCAAGCGUUACUCGGAAUUACUGGGCGUAAAGGGUGAGUAGGCGGCUGGGCAAGUCAAGGAUGAAAGCCCGAGGCUCAACUUCGGAACCGUCCUUGAAACUGCUCAGCUUGAGGGUAGUUGAGGAGGGCUGAAUUCCCGGUGGAGCGGUGAAAUGCGUAGAUAUCGGGAGGAACACCUGAGGCGAAGGCGGCUCUCUAAGCUAUUCCUGACGCUGAAUCACGAAAGCUAGGGGAUCAAACGGG
This 253-nucleotide ribosomal RNA is filed under the name uncultured bacterium. Its description in RNAcentral is "partial 16S ribosomal RNA". It matches the Rfam family "Bacterial small subunit ribosomal RNA", at positions 524 to 776 of the family's 1533-position model. The record is from RNAcentral.